GACGAACGCUGGCGGCGUGCUUAACACAUGCAAGUCGAGCGGUAAGGCCCUUUCGGGGUACGACGAGCGGCGAACGGGUGAGUAACACGUGGGUGACCUGCCCUCAGCUCUGGGAUAAGCCUGGGAAACUGGGUCUAAUACUGGAUAUGACUCCACGGUGCAUGUCGUGGGGUGGAAAGCCUUGUGCGGCUGAGGAUGGGCCCGCGGCCUAUCAGCUUGUUGGUGGGGUGAGGCCUACCAAGGCGACGCCGGGUAGCCGGCCUGAGAGGGCGACCGGCCACACUGGGACUGAGACACGGCCCAGACUCCUACGGGAGGCAGCAGUGGGGAAUCUUGCGCAAUGGGCGAAAGCCUGACGCAGCGACGCCGCGUGAGGGAUGACGGG
Molecule: ribosomal RNA, 385 nt
Filed under: uncultured bacterium
Lineage: Bacteria
Description: bacterial SSU rRNA
Rfam family: Bacterial small subunit ribosomal RNA
Source: RNAcentral